AACGAACGCUGGCGGCAUGCCUAACACAUGCAAGUCGAACGAGACCUUCGGGUCUCGUGGCGCAAGGGUGCGUAACGCGUGGGAACCUGCCCUUAGGUUCGGAAUAACUCCCCGAAAGGGGUGCUAAUACCGGAUAAUGUCUUCGGACCAAAGAUUUAUCGCCUGUGGAUGGGCCCGCGUUGGAUUAGCUAGUUGGUAGGGUAAAAGCCUACCAAGGCGACGUUCCAUAGCUGGUCUGAGAGGAUGAUCAGCCACACUGGGACUGAGACACGGCCCAGACUCCUACGGGAGGCAGCAGUGGGGAAUAUUGGACAAUGGGCGAAAGCCUGAUCCAGCAAUGCCGCGUGAGUGAUGAAGGCCUUAGGGUUGUAAAGCUCUUUUACCCGGGAUGAUAAUGACAGUACCUGGAGAAUAAGCACCGGCUAACUCCGUG
This 433-nucleotide ribosomal RNA is filed under the name uncultured bacterium. RNAcentral describes it as "partial 16S ribosomal RNA". It matches the Rfam family "Bacterial small subunit ribosomal RNA", at positions 29 to 507 of the family's 1533-position model. The record is from RNAcentral.